CGCGGGGCAACCUGGCGGCGAGCGGCGGACGGGUGAGGAAUACAUCGGAAUCUACCUUCUUGUGGGGGAUAACGUAGGGAAACUUACGCUAAUACCGCAUACGACCUGAGGGUGAAAGCAGGGGACCGCAAGGCCUUGCGCGAGAAGAUGAGCCGAUGUCCGAUUAGCUAGUUGGUGAGGUAAAGGCUCACCAAGGCGACGAUCGGUAGCUGGUCUGAGAGGAUGAUCAGCCACACUGGAACUGAGACACGGUCCAGACACCUACGGGAGGCAGCAGUGGGGAAUAUUGGACAAUGGGCGCAAGCCUGAUCCAGCCAUGCCGCGUGUGUGAAGAAGGCCUUCGGG
This 345-nucleotide ribosomal RNA is filed under the name uncultured bacterium. Its description in RNAcentral is "bacterial SSU rRNA". It matches the Rfam family "Bacterial small subunit ribosomal RNA", at positions 72 to 422 of the family's 1533-position model. The record is from RNAcentral.